GACGUCAAUUAGACGCAGGGCGGAGGAUCUUUCUAUAUAUAAACUCUUCUUUGUCUCGCUUUCUUUUUCCGACUCACUUCGUCUUCUGCUUUCCGGAAACGUCUAAUCUCCCACGAACGUUCUCUCUCUCUCUCUCUCUCUAGGUAAAAUGGCUACCUUUGGUGCGACGGCGAAUACUAAUCCUAACAAAUCCUUUGAGGUAAUUCUUCUGUGGCCGUUGUUUGAUUUAGACUGAGAGAUCGAAGAGCUUUCUCUUGGCUUAGGGGAGUGUGUAAACUAAUGACCAAAUUGGAUUCUCACAAAGUUUGCUCCUUUCUUUAUUGCUGCGAAAACCCUUUUUUAACUGUCUUGCUUUGUAGCUGUAACUCGUGUUCUUGAGACUUUUGUUUCUAUUAAAGUUCCAAUCUUUUUAUACUUGUACUACAAAUUUCACAUAAUGGUUUCUUUUUUUCGUGCAGGUUACUCCAUCACCCGCAGAUUCUAUCUCCAGCUUAAGUUUUAGCCCAAGAGCCGAUAUUCUUGUCGCCACCUCUUGGGACAAUCAGGUUUUAUUCUUUCCCCUCCUUUCUUUUGUUUCUCCUCUAUUCGUAUCCUAGUGUUUGAAUUUGCUUCGUCUCUCGUUAUAGGUGCGGUGUUGGGAAAUAUCCCGUAGUGGAGCCUCUCUAGCAAGUGCUCCUAAAGCAUCUAUAUCUCAUGAUCAGCCGGUAAUUUCUUGUUGCUUCCUAUCUAUCUUUCUUUAUCUUGCUUUCCCUUUUACUUAUAAUCUCAUGAUUGUGUAUAUCUUUUCUUGUGUUUAAGGUCUUGUGCUCUGCUUGGAAAGAUGAUGGAACCACUGUCUUUAGUGGAGGUUGUGAUAAGCAAGCCAAAAUGUGGCCCUUGUUGUCCGGCGGUCAACCUGUUACUGUUGCUAUGCACGAUGCUCCUAUUGUUGACAUGGCCUGGAUCCCUGGAAUGAAUCUCCUUGUUACUGGAAGCUGGGAUAAAACAUUGAGGUAAAGAUUGAUUUGUUAAUGUCUAUUACGAAAUCAAACAAAUGAUAGAAUUGCCUGACUGAUAAUAAAACGAAUGUAUGUUGGUUUCCUUUCCAGAUAUUGGGACACAAGGCAGCAAACUCCUGUGCAUACCCAACAGCUUCCAGAUAAAUGCUAUGCUUUGUCUGUGAAACACCCUCUGAUGGUUGUCGGAACUGCAGAUAGGAAUCUUAUUGUCUUCAACUUGCAAAAUCCUCAGGUUUGUUUUCUGUUUUACGACUUUUGUGCGUGAUCUCUGGGUGCUAACUAAGACUGCUGAUCAUCAAAUAGAUGAUCAAUUUAGCAACAGAUGGAUCAAUUGAAUAUGCAUGUAUAGUCUAUCCUACGAAUAACUACUCUGGUGGCUCAUGAAAGCGUUUCGACCAUCUGAUUUACUAUUCCACUUGUGUAUUGAACUUUUGAUUAAUUUGGUAAACUGCAGACUGAGUUCAAGAGAAUCGUGUCACCACUGAAGUACCAGACGAGGUGUGUUACUGCCUUCCCUGAUCAGCAAGGAUUUUUGGUAUGUCUUCUUAUAUUAUCCUUUUCGAUUGUGGUUUGGUUAAUUCGAUGGCACAGGACAUUGAUCUCACGUGCUUGUAAUUAUACUAAACGUUAUCCUUUUCAAGCUUGAGAAGUUUCUGUUGGUUAUUCUAGUAACAAAUUAAGUAUAGUAGUGUUGGAAGUUGUUUCAUGAGUCACAUCUUAUCUAGAUCACAGAAACUGUCAAGUAUAUAACCAGAUCCGAUGCUCUCUCUAUAUAGGUUGGUUCAAUUGAAGGACGAGUUGGUGUCCAUCAUUUGGAUGAUUCUCAACAGAACAAGAACUUCACAUUCAAAUGCCACAGAGAUGGGAAUGAGAUCUAUUCUGUCAACGCUCUGAACUUCCACCCGGUAAGCUCUCUAUGACUCAGUAGUCUUAAAGCUUCAGCACCAUGAAAGUAUAUUGUACAGAUGUUAAUUGUUUGAGUUGUGUAAUAUGAAGGUACAAGGAACUUUUGCCACUGCUGGCUCAGAUGGGGCUUUCAAUUUCUGGGACAAGGAUAGUAAACAAAGACUCAAGGUAAUAUCAUGUUGCUUAUGUGCUUUUCAUUUAACUAUUGUGUCUUCUAUAUAACAUAAUAUCUAACUGUUGAGUGCAUUGUUCACUGAUGAAUGUCAGGCCAUGUCAAGGUGCAGUCAGCCAAUUCCUUGCAGUUCGUUUAACCACGACGGGUCGAUAUAUGCAUAUGCGGUAUGCUACAUCUUCUUUGUUUUCACUUUAUUAUAUUGAUGUUAAAUCUGGAAAAUCAAAAGUGUAUUUUUAUCAUAAUAUAGAAAUGACUUUGGAGAAUAUAAGAGUAGAAAGUAAUGUUCUUUUGAACAUUUCUGUAUUGUAGUCGUGCUAUGACUGGAGCAAAGGUGCAGAGAAUCACAACCCAGCAACUGCGAAAAGCAGCAUCUUCUUGCACCUGCCACAGGUGUGUUUAGUGUGCAACUCUCAACUCAUAAAAUCUGCCUCAUUCCAAACAUUAACUAUUAGUAGUUAGUGUGUACUAAUUUUGUAUGAAUGAACUUGCAGGAAAGUGAGGUCAAGGCAAAGCCAAGAGUAACGACCGGCAGGAAAUGAGAUUAGCUAAUUGCUUUCAGUGAGAGAGGAUAUCUUCCUCCCUUAUAGUGGUGGAUGAUGCUUUUAGCUGUCUUGAUAUCGUUUUAAUGUAGAGUCUCUUUCUUUCCCAUCAAGUAAAUUAUCUGUCUGUCUUGGAUGUUUCUCCUUUUGGCUCGGUUUGGAAUUGUGUUUGUCUAAGUACUACUACCACCCUCCGAAACAUAAUGAAACGCUUCUAGAACUCUUAUUAUAUUAAUUAUUAUACAGUUGAUAAAUUUGAGUAGUAUUAUGAUUAAAUGGACAACAUCAUACGCAUAUUGCAUAGAAUAUACACAUGUUUUUUCUUUUGUGAAAAAAAAAAAACUAUAAUCCUUGAACGGAGAGAGCAAGAAUAAAGUAUCGAAAUAUGGUUAUGGCUAUGGUUAAUAUAGCAAAAGAAUACAGAGAGAGAGAGAAAAGAAAAACAAAAACAAAUGGGAGUUGAUUAGUGGAAGCGGGAGUAAAGCGAAGGACCUGGACUUUGUCCCAUUGCAAAAACUCCCGCUCCUUCACUACUACAACUGCUAAUCAUCUUCACACUCUCUCUGAUAUAAAACGCUUGCAAACUUCAGGCUCCACCUGCAAACAAGGAGAGUUAGAAGCUGUUGUAGUGUUGUGAUCGCCACUGGUGUUCACACUCUCUGGCAAAGCUGAUCAUUUAGUAGACAGCACAAACCAAGAAUGCCAUUUCCAACAAGUGCUGACUGCUAUAGGAAACUUCUGCAACUGCUCCAUCGCCAUAGGUAUGAUCAUUGGGAUCGUUGUGAUGUAUCCUAUUCAACACCGUGCUUAUAAAAAUGGUAUAGACUAUCUUCUUGUGCUUCUCAUUGGAGGUAUCUCUAUUGCAAUGCCAACUGUUCUCUCUGUCACAAUGGCUAUUGGAUCUCACCAUCUCUCUCAACAAGGAGCUAUCACAAAGAGGAUGACAUCAAUUGAAGAAAUGGAUGGGAUGGAUGUUUUGAGUAGUGACAAGAUUGGAACUCUUAUACUCAACAAGCUUACUGUUGGCAAGAGUAUGGUUGAGGUUUUUGUCAAAGAUUUGGACAAGAAACAGUUCUUGUGAAUGCAUCAAGAGCCUCUAGAGUUGAGAAUCAGUAUGCUUGUAUUGUAGGAAUGCAUGGAGCUCCCAGUGAAGCAAGAGAAGGUAUCACUGAAGUCCAUUUCUUUCCUUUUAACCCUGUAGAUAUAAGCGUACUGCUACCACUUACACUGAUGCUAAUGGAAACUGGCACCGUGUCAGCAAAGGCGCUUCAGAACAGGUAAUAAAUGCAUAAACUUAAGUUCAUCAUCAGAUAUGCACUAAGUGGUAGAGCUUGGGAUAAUGUCAUUGAGAACAAGGUGAGGUUAACAAGAACACUAGUCCUUCUGCAGUAGUACUGUUUCUAACUUUGUUCCUUUUGUUUUAGACCGCUUUCACUUCAAAGAAAGACUAUGGAAAGGGAGAGAGAGAAGAACAGUUGGUACAAGCUCAACGUACCCUUCAUGGAUUGCAACCUGCUCAACCCUCAGAGAUGUUCAACGACAAGAGCACUUAUAGAGAACUUUCAGAGAUAGCAGAUCAAGCCAAGAGACGAGCUGAAGUUGCAGGGCAAGGCUCUAAGCAACUGAUUAAUCCAUAACAUUUCUGUUCCUAAGAAUAUGACCUUGGCAUUAUUACUAUUGUAAUUUUUCAGGAUAAGAGAGCGUCAUCCAUUGAAGUCAGCAGUGAAGCAGAAGGGAGUUGACAUAGAGGCUAUCCAGCAACACUACACCCUGUGAUUUUCAGAAACAAGUGGUUUCUUAGUUUAGUUUAGAACCAAAUCCACAAGAGUAUUUGAAUAAUAAACCACCACCUUCAUCAUUAGAAAAAUACUGCAAAAAAGAACAAAAAUAAUGUUUCUCUGACUAGCAGUGGCUGUUGGCUGCUUUAUUUGUUUUGAGAUAUUCUUGUUUUAUUGCCUUUACAAAACUAAUAAGAUUUCACAUUACAAAUUUUAUAAAAUAGCACAAGGAUUGAGAUAUGAGGACCAAAACAAAUUCUGAUACAGAUCAACAACCAAAACAAAUUAACAGAUAGCAAUAUCUUUUAGGGAUCCCUCCCUUGUUAGAAAUGUAUAAUGACUAGUCUACUAAACUCUCAGGUUACUUCAUCUGAGUAGAUGAUGAUGAGUUACUGAUGCAGCUUUUGUCUGGUUUGGCUUUGCAUGGUCAAGAUACCAGAGAGCUCCUUCAGCUGCAUGCUCAGCAGCAGCUUUCUUCUUGUGUUUGGGAUCACCAAAACAUUCCAAAACAGUUGUUCCUGAAGAAUCUCUAAUCUCAACCACAACUUUGUAUGUAAACCUUGACCCAAAAACAAUAUAAACCAAGUUCCAUGCAAAUUAAAAGGUUGUGACUAGGAGCAAGGUGCAGGUAAGUUAUGUGUGACUUACAAUCUCAUAUGACAAGGUCCAUCAACAUUGCAGCAAUCAUAAACAGGAGGUUUCCAUCUCUUGGAAAUACACAUUUCGUGUAACAAUGAUUUUGCUGAACCUUUCUUAGAUUCAUCUGGACCACAAGCGUUUACACAAAGUAACAAAUCUCAGCAUGAGAAAAAAAAACAAAACCUAAAAGUUAAAACCAGUCACUUUAAUGUGAUGAACCUAAAAGAUAAAACAAGAAGAUGACUAAGGGAGGUGAAUGAAGAAAAGGUAACACCUUUAGAUAUUGAUUUGGCAUCUUCUACAGGUUUGAGAACAGGGUGAUUCUCUUGUGUGGUGCUAACGCUUCUUGUGCUAUUAGGAUCGAUCUGAAUGUUAGAGAAGGAAGACUUGACAUUGUCUUCUUCAAGCCUCAUCUCUUGGUAUCUCUGCUUUGGCACAGUACCUGGCACCAUCAUUGUUCUUGGCUUCUGACAAAACAAUUGAAAGAAACUAAGAUGUAUCACUGAUUCCGACAGAGAUUUAUGUUUUUUUUUCAAAGAAAACGUCUUUGGUAUUAAAAAAAGAAUAGCCAAAUCAACGAGGAACGUUACAGAACAAUCGAAUUUGGAAGUAAAAUUGAAUGAAGAAAGUAUAUAUUUAUAUUUACCAGAGAGGAGUGUGUUGGGGGGAUAGAAGAAGGAUCCAAAGGAGGAAUGUCUUUGAGACUGAUGAUGAUAGAUCUUCUUCUUGAUGUGGUUUUCUGAUCCUCCUCCAUCUUCUCUCUCUCAUAACUCAAUUCGUCAAGUUUCUCGCUUAGGGAAUCGAACAAACGGAUAAGGUUAAUUAAUUACAACUCUUUCUCUUUCUCUCAGAGUUUUGUCUUCUUAUGUUUGGUCCCCAAAGUCAAAAGCUUUUGUCUAUUUUUUUUUGUGUUUGGUCAGAAAGUCAAAAACCUAAUUAAUUGUACUUACCAAACUACUUGAUACGAUUACCAAAAAAAAAACAGAUAAAAAGUGGAAUUUUGCACAAGAACACCAACAACAUUCAAUUCAAAAUGAAAAGAUUACAAUAAAGGAAAUGAAAAUGUGUUUUUAUAAAAUUCUCAAUGAUCCGCCGAGGUCUAGUGGUAGAAGAGGGAUGAGUGAGUGCAACACAUCGGUUAUAAGUGGUCUGUAACUUGGCUCUGGCUGCACACACAACACUGCCACCGCUGCUACCUGAUAAAGAUGCUUCAAAUCCAUGGUUCCUUUGAUUGCAGGAUCCAAUAUGUUUGGCAGAUUAGCUCUGUCACUCAGCUUUGGUACAGCCUGUUCAACAAAUAGAUAUCUUAAAAAAGCCAAAGAGGAUUUAAAGCACAUUAUCUUGAAAGUUUGUACGUACCCAAGUGACAACGGAUUCUGGUUCAGUUGAUGGUUUCUCCACUACUGAUCUCUUCCCCAGGAGAAGUUCUAGGAGAAUCACCCCAAAUGAGUAUACAUCAUUCUUGUCUGUUACUUUCCCUUUAAAAAGAUGAAAACACACAAAGAGACAAUUUUGAGCAACAGAUAAAGAAAAAUGUGAGAGACUAGUUGUUUAGUUAUUACCAUCAAGAAGAUACUCAGAAGGUCUGUUCAGAUUUUUGUUCUGAGUCAUCAACACAGUUGCAUACCCAAAAUCUGAUAUCUGAAGAGAGAAGCAAACAUAUAUCAUUACAAGAAGAAUGUUACAUUAUUAUUAUACAUAUCAAGCUUUUAUCUUUUUACCUUUGCGUUGAAAUCAGAGUCUAGAAGGAUGUUAGACGAUUUCAAAUCUCUGUGAACUACAGGAGGAUGGCAAUGCUCAUGAAGAUACUCUAACCCUCUUUAUUAAAGAAAAAAGAGAAAAAACUUUGUAAGCAUACAAAUGUGCUUGGAGAUUAAAUGAAACUGCUAAUGGAUGAAUGGACUUUACCUUGCUAUAUCGACCGCGAUUUUCAUUCUAAGCUGCCAAGUUAAACCUGAACCUUGACUAGGCCCUUCAAAUAUAUCCAAAAAAAAAAAGUAAGAAAAAAUGUUAAAAGAUUGAACAAAGAGUUCAUAAACUAGGAUCAUCUCCCUUACCAUGCAGCCGACUCUCCAAAGAUCCAUUCUGCAUCAUCUCAUACACAAUACAUCUCGUUUGCCUAUAGACGCUAAACCCCAAAAGGGAGAUUACGUUCUGAUGCUUGAUCUUCGCCAACCAGUCUACCUCAUUCUGCAUUAUAGUUCAACAAAGAAACCAAAAGAGUUAUGAUUCAUUAAAUGAGAUGGUUAAAUACUGUGGAAGGAAGCCGAUCAAAACCUCAAACUGUUUUUCAAUGUCUGUCUCUCCACCAACAUCAAGCUUCUUCACAGUGACAGAAGACUUCCCAUCAAGACAAGCGCUGUAAAGACAUCCACGACCACCUCGGCUCAACACAUUACCAUCGCUAAACUUGUUUGUACCAGACUCCAGCAGCUGGUAUUCAUAGACAGGGAUAGUUCCUUUCGUCACAGAAUCAACCUUGUGUACAACAGGUUUCGCGGAUCCACUACUCUUCACAGAAUCUUCAGAUAAUAAGCAAAGAACCAAAAAAAAGUAAGCGCAACAACACCAAGACGAUUACAUUUGUAAAGGGUAAAAAGGGUUAAGCUUUAACAUUACCGGACUUCCCCUUGAUGCCGUUGAAGCUGUUGUUAUUCAUACUUCGGUACCUCCAUAGCAAGAGGUAGAGAAUCAUCAUGACUGUGAUACAGAGGAGUGUUGAGGAGGCUAUAAGAGCAAUUAGAAUCUUCUUGUUCAGGUCCUGGCGAAUCACCACUUUGACAAUGGGAGGUCCUGAGAGAAAGUGUAUAAUUGAAAAAGGUCAACUUUUUGUUUUAUCAGUGGAAAGUUUCCAUUUUUGUUAUACCAGAAAUAGUAUCAAUUUCAUGUAAAGUCGAUUCCUUUUGGUCUCCUCUAGCACUCAACUAGUAAGACCCAAUCACUCAAAAUCAGUAGCUUGAUUUAGAAUUUUACCUGGGGAUUGAGCUCCUCCGGUUCGAGGAGAAGCCUGAGAGAUAGGGAUUUCUUGGGGAGUAGCAGUAACGAAAACAACGGAGAAGAAGGAGAAGCCCAGAAGAACCCAAAUAGGCAACAGCAAAUGACGAAGGACACACAUUCUUGUUUGGUGUUUCACAAACAUGCAGAGAGAGAGAGAGAGAGAGUGAAACUAUUAUGAAGCUUCUUCCUUUUGAGUUCUUUUAAUGGAGAUGGGAAGAAAUCUUUGAGAUAAUCUUUGUCUGAAGAUGGAGACAAGAGAGGAGGACAGGACACAGUUGGGGUUGGGAAACGGAGAGAGAAAGACAGUGUAUUGGUUUGGUUUUCAUGUGGCAGUUAUCAAAAGGUGUAAAAAGUUGAAACCAAACCCAAAAAAGAGAGUGCUGCCUUGAUGAGAGAGAGAGAGACCGGACGUGGGGUGAUAAGACGUGGAAUUGUGGACUGAUAGAGAAGAUUAAUAUCAUGCUCCAUUCUCUCAAUUAAUUUGUAUUUUACUGUAGAUUACAAACAAAAAUUAACAUCCCAAGGUAAGAUAAUGCUCUGCUUAUAUAGAGAUAGAAAAAAAGGAAUAUAGUAAUCUCUAUAGGUUUGUUUGCAUUGAGGCACAUUACUCCAAAUGAUUCGAUUGGGUCACUGUGCAUAAUUCAAUUCAUGCGGAUUUAGGGACAAGUCAUGCUUGAAGGAACUGAAUCCAAAGAAUAUAUUUUUUCCUUUUUAAAAAAAAUAUUGGAAGAAAGGUCCAAAAGUCUUGAACAUUAUUCAUGUGAACUUUCUAUGUCUGUCCUCUUCAACUUUAAUUGCCCACACAAGUGGUCACAUACACUUACACACAGCUGUACAGUUGACAAUCAGCUCAAAUUAAAACGUUUUUUCCAAAAAUGAACUGAUUGGGCCUUAUAACGAGAUAGUAAGCCUGAACAGGCCCAACGGAUCUUAAAGAGAAGCCUUUCAAGAUGCCAGCAAGACCAAGAAGAUGAAGUAAAACUACUCAUAAAUUCAUCUCUGAGAUAAUAUACAUUGGACUAUAAUUUAACUUUAUUAUCAAACUUCUCACACAACUUUCGUCUAUUUGCCUAUAUAGCCUGCAGUAAUAAACUCUAGCACAACAACUCUUCUCCCCCAAAAUGAUGGAACAGAAAGACCCACAUUAUCCCUUUUGCCAAAAUGAAAAGAACAAAAAGAGAGUUACAGAGAUCAAGAUUCAUUUGUUUAAAACUUGUAAUCAGGGUUGUCACGAAGACCGAGUUUUGAGAGUGAAAGGCAGUAAGAGUCCCAGUCCGUUCGUCUCAUAUACUUCAACAGUUUCUUCCUUCUAUGCACCAUUGCUAUAAGCCCCUUUCUCGAAUGCUUGUCCUAGAUUAGGUUACAUAGGAUACACAAUUAUGUUACAUAAUAGAAAACCGCCUCUACUAGCUUCAGGAAGAUAAAAAAGAGAGGAAUAAAAGCUACCUUUUUAUGUAGAACAGAAGAUAGAUGCUUGAUCUUAGUAGUCAGUUGUGCCACUACAAAGGAAAGACCAUAGAGAUCACUAACCAAUUAUGUAACAAAUAAAAUUAUCUGUGAUUACACCAUUAGAUUAGCCUUGUAUUGAUGGCUAAAGACAAAACAUUGAUCCUUUAGCAGGAUUCAAAUUUACCUUGAACACGUGCAGAACCACAAUCGGAUUCAGCCAUCUUGAACUCUUCCCUGACCUUUGCAAGCUCGAUUUUCAUCUUCUCCGCAGAUGACAUGUUAUCCGGGUGGAAAUACUGCUUUUGAUUUUACACAUAAUCAAUGCCUAAACGCUUAAAGAUUCAAGAAACUAACAAAGAAAAGAAAAGACUUACAGUUUGAACUAGCUCCUCUUUGGGAGGCUCCAGCAAAUACUUAGGAGUAUCACUAAACACGCUGAAAAGAUCCACGUUCUGAACUGCAAACAGCAGAUCAACCUUCCAAUUAAAUCACAACACCAAGAAUAAUUGACAUUCUAAUGAAACAAUCAAUAUCUAAACACUGCAGGAGGCAGGGGAAGUCAGGAACACACGUACAUGCUAGUGAUUUUCUGGCUUCGGCUGCUUUCUUUUCUUGAAUACCAAACCUGAGAUCAUCGAAGGGAAGCCCCUUCCUCGUCCCCUGAGCUGCUUCCUCUUCCACCUCUCUCAGCUUAACAAGCCUCUGGUUCAGCUCCUGCAACGAGAACCAACCUUCUUCUUUCUUCCCCUCUGGUCUAUACCGUCUCAGCAUCUCCCCCAGCUCUUCAGUGUUGUAUCUCUUGAUAAACUCCGACUUCAUCUCCUCCGUCUCAUCUCCCUUCCUCUUCCUCUCUUCAAGCUCCUCCCCAAACACUGAAACAGGCAAACCGACGUUGUUAUCAUUACGUUUCGCCUUCAUGAUCCCCUGAAUGCUCGAUAGAUUAGACCACCUCGUCUCUUGUGGUGGCCUCAUCUGCCUUAAGUUUUGCUUUAGGUUCUCAAAAGACGAGCUUUCGGGUUUGGGUUUAGACAGCACGGUUUGCUUGUAAAGAUCCUGCAAACCCCUCGCCGGAGGAGAUGCUGCUCUUCGCCGGAACUCGUUGAGAUUGCGCCUGAUGUCCUGAAAGUCUCCGCCGGAAAAGGUUUGAGCUUUGGCAUCGAAUCUAGCUUGAGAUUGUUGUUUCAGGCUGCUCUUGAUGCCACUGAAGUAGGAGGAGAUUUUGAGAUCCGACGGUGGUUGUUGAGGAGGCUGUUCGCCGGAUUCGUUCCCGUCUUGAGGAGAUGAGGUGGAGAAGAGAUGAAACAGAGAGGGGUUAGAUUGUAGCCUUUGUUUGCGUCUGGCGAGGUGAAGCGCCGCCAUUGGAGCUGAUGAUCUCGGCGGCUCCAGGUGCUUUAGGGUUUUUUUUGGUGAUGAAUGAUGAUGGAGAGAGGGAGGUGUUCAAGUGGAAAUGAAAGUGAUGGAGUCAGACCGGUUAUCUGUAAACCGGAAAUUAGAAAAUGCGAUUUUGAAAACCGGAUUAGUGGGGGAACGGUUUUUUAACUUUCGGUAAAAGUGAGAAGACAACAAUCAUCAUUACUUUUACUACUGACUUCAGGAAACUAAAAUCCUACGUUUGUGAGGUCAGAGACUCGGAAGGUUCUUAUUCGCUAGCAUCUUCUUUUCAAAAUGCAACAUUUGUUUUUGGUUCAACUAAAGUAUGAUUAAAAUGAUUUCAAUAAAAUGAGGUCGGAGAUGAAUUUAAAACCUACGCUUAUGAAUUAUGAACUAUUGUAGAUGAUAGUAUACAGGCCCAAAAUGUGAUUUAAGAUGCUACUCUUUUGAAUGCUAGCUCCCUGACGAUAAGGUACAUUUUCGAGAGAGAGAGAGAGAGAGGGAGAGACGUAUGUGGUCGACUCAUAUGAAGAUCAACGCUUAGCAAAGGAUGUGUAUUUACUGAACGAAUUCAUUGAUGUCAUGACACUUGUUGUUUACACUUUGGUGUUAACACACAGAGGGAGUACUACUAGUAUACCUUGCAACCAAAACGUGUCUAAAACUCAUUCAAAUGGUUUUUCCUUGCAUCUUGUUCCAACUUAAUACUAUCCAGUUUUAAAUUUAGUAUAUCAAAAGAUUCAAAACACCUUCCAAAAAUCGAAGGUAAAAAGCGCUCUCGAGAAUUUUUUUAAAGUUCUAUUUGACGACUUUUAUAUUGGUUUAGCUGUUGGUUUAUAGGUUCGCUUAUUUAUAUAGGGGCGCAUAGAUUAUGACGGUCAUCCAUCUCCAUACUUCAAGGCCAUUCCAUAAGUAAGUAGUCGACGUGACCAAGAAAUUGAAUAGUCAUAAAUACGUUGGAAAAAUAGAAAUUUCAAAAUAAUACUACUCGGUCAUAUUCGUCCUCGAUAAUACAUUGAAAUAAGUUUAUGGAUAGAGUUUAUGAAUAAAGAAUUCUGGACAGAGUUUAUGGAUAGAUCAAAGCAACUGUCGAAGAUAUGCUCCCGACCGGAUCUAUCAAUCAAGUGUUCUAAGUCCAAAAAAUUUUGUUCGUGCGACCCACAAAAAAAACAUUGAAGAUUCAAAAAACGAUUCUCUAGGUGCCCCGACAGAUUUAGACGCAAGAGAUUCUUUCGGAAGAAACGAGGCUUAAGGAAAUCAACAAAAUGCUUUCUAUGUCGAAAUGAAUGACAUUUUGCAAAAAACUGUCCGAACAAGUCAGCUAAAAAGAAGCAGUACUUAAUCAAUUCAAUAUCUGAAAUAGCACCAGAUAUUGAUCUCGAAGGCCACGAUUUAGAAUCAGUUCUAUCUUAUGAUAGUAACGACAACGAUGCCAUUUGUGGUUACUCAGAUUAUGACAACUCUUCUGAUUCAUCUGCCGAAGAAGAAAAUGAUUGCUGCUUCAAAAUUACAAAAAUGCCGCGACAUGACGACAUACAAACUCCUCAUCUACCAGUGAUGAUUUUAGACCCAUCUGGUCAAGAAGACCCGGUUCGCGCCAUUGCAUUCAUAGAUACCAGAGCCCACACAACGAUCAUUAAUCCCAAGAUUCUUUCUCCGUCGAUGUGGCUACCUCACCAGCAAGAAUUUCGAGUCGCUAACUCAGGUUCAUUGACAGUAAAGCUCAAGUCAAAACCUAUCAGAAUCGAACUUUUCUCCGGUUGUCAUAUUACUACGGAAGUCCUUGGCUCUACGGCACCUGGGAAAGAUCUAAUACUGGGAUGAGAUUCAUAUUAUGUCUUCAAGAAAAAAUUUGAUAUCUCUAUCGAACCGCACGGUUUAAAAUGGAGAAGUCUCUUCAAAGCAUUCACGUCAAUUCCACGACUUUUCGCAGUUGAAGGAUUAAUUUCUCAAGAAUUUACUAAGAUCAAGGAGAAGUUGACGGAGAUUUCUUGUGCAGACUCUCAUACAGAAUUCCUACAGAAGUGCAAUAACCCGCUGUGGUUAAAUUCGGAGUUCUUUGUUUCUUUGCCAUUCAAAGAAAACAUACAAACAACUCCGACUAAAGCGAGUCAUGCGGGAAUGCCACCAACCCUACUACAACAAGCGAAUGAAGAAUGCGACCAGCUAGUACAACAAGGAGUAGUCUCUGCAACCAACUCGCCAUGGGCAUGCAAAGCCUUUUACGUUAACAAUCGUGCAGAACAAGCAAGAGGGAAGCUAAGACUAGUCAUCGACUACAAACCACUGAAUCAGUAUCUACAAGAUAUCAAAUUUCCGCUACCAAACAAAAUGGCGCUUCUUCAACAUCUUCAAGGGGCAACUAUUUUCUCAAAAUUUGAUCUUAAGUCAGGAUUCUGGAAACUUGGCGUUCAUCCUGAAGAAAGAUACAAAACUACGUUCUGUCUUCCUAAUUGUCAUCUGCAGUGGAACGUCUUACCUUUUGGACUCAAGACCGCACCAUCAUUAUUCCAACAAGCGAUGCUUCGUAUAUUCAAGCCUCUACUUCAUACGGCCUUAAUUUAUAUUGAUGACAUAUUGCUGUUCUCGUCUACCGAAACCGAGCACAUUCAGCUUCUUCAGCAAUUUCAAAGCAUUGUCAUUCAAUAUAGAAUCAUGCUUUCGGCCCGAAAAAUGGUCAUAACCCAGCCCAAUAUCGACUUCCUUGGAAUGCAAAUUACAGAUGGCAACUUUACGCCUCAGGCCCAUCUGGCUACAAGGCUCUUAGAUUUUCCCGACGAAAAUCUCACAAAACGACAAGUCCAACAAUUCCUCGGUGUCAUCAAUUAUGUUAGCGACUUUAUCCCGUAACUUUCGCAGCUGACAAGACCCCUACAGAAAAUGCUUACGAAGAAUCCACCACAAUGGACAAACCGACAAACUGAAGCUGUCAGAAGCCUAAAAAUAGAGGUGCAGAAGCUACCGCCUUUAAAGAUUUCCUCCACUGGAACACGCAUUUUACAGACUGACGCGAGUGACAAAUAAUGUCAAAGCAUGGCAAUUAUUUUUCGAGUGCAUUACUUUUUAGGAUACUUUUUUUUAUCUUUUUGGACACUUUAGAACACAAUUCGCUGGAGGCACACUUUCAAAGAAUCCAAGAGAGAUGUUGGACAUUAAUACCCUUUUGUCCAAGGAAAGUACAAAAAAAAUAUAUUUGUUUUAUUCAGUUUAGUUAGUAGACAGAAUAUUUAGUUUCUUUUUUUAAUUAAGACUUACCUUCCGAUAUUAAUAUUUUAUUUGUUUUUAUUUGUUCUUUUCUCAGUUUUUUUGUUGUUUUAUUUUACAGCAAAAUUCUUAUUUUUUUGUUUUUUGUCAAAGUUUAAAAUAUUUAAAGAAAAUAUAAUCAUCACAGUAAAUUGUAAUUUGUUUUUCUCUAUAUUUUAACAUCCAUAUUCAUAUAUAUAUUUUAUAUAUAUUAACAAUUAUAUAAAAAAUGUAUGGACAUAAAAACUAUGGACGAAAAAUUAUGGACAAGUAAGAACAAAUACAUGAAAAAAAAGAUGUGGACAUGGAUAGAUACAAAAAUAUAAAAAAUCUUUUAAGAAGUUUCAUGGAUGUGUUUUCGUUGAUAACAUUCUUAUAUUUUCAAUCAUCUAUAAAAAAGUGGAUAUGGACACUUAGAUAAUAGAGUUAUAAACUAUAUGUGGACAUGGACAUCAAAGCUGGACACAAACACUAAAACGUUAACAUCCAUACUUUUCCCAAGUUUGGUCUAUAAUAAUUACAUAUGUUGACAUAGAUAUGAAAUACAAGACCAAGUGAAAGUAGAUAAACCACGUUUUGGAGUCUGGAUAGGAGGUGUCGAGCUGCAUCAUCCAUAGACUCUUAAUGGGUGGGAACAAGAUUGAUGUUUAGGACGUUGUUGUUGUGGACUACGUCAUAGACUUUUGAUGUGGUCAUGUAGUUAAAAUAUCUUGCUGCAUUAUCAUGAAUUCUUGUUGUGGUCAUGUCAAGUUUGGCCCAAAAAUCCAUCUAGUCAUAUAAUCAAAUUAUCGAUUCAGAGCACUAGUUGUGGAAAACCAAAAAAAAGAUAAAUAAAAAAUUGUUUUAAUUAAAGUCAAAGACUUUUACUUCUCAGAUCUCUAAUACAAAGAAGAAGUGUUCAACAUUUAAAUCCCAGAAAGAUUCUGAUAAAGAAAGGAAGUGAAAUUGGAAUCUGUAAAUGUCAAAAUUGAGCUCUUUGAAGCUAACCUUCACACCACGAGAGCUUGUCGUCUUCUUUUCCACAAUAGAGGCAUGACCUGUUCGUCGCCGCGUCAUCUCCGCACCGGAGCUCAGAUCUGCUGGCCGUCAUGUCAUCCUCUCCACAACAGAGCUUGGACAUGCUCGCCGUCACAUUGCCCUCUCCACACUGGAGCUCUCAGAUCUUCUCAUUAUCUCUCCCAUCCACAAAAUCUCAGAAAUUCGAUCCAAUUGGAAAAUUACAACAUAAACAAAAAAAAACAAAAAAAGUUAGGGAUUUCAAAAACUCUUUAAAGUAAAAAAGAGUUAAAGAAUUCAAAAUAUAAACUUCUGUUGUCGAUCUGCGAUGAAGAAGGUUGACUAUUGAGGUUCUCUUUCUUCUUCGACUUCGAUUUCGCCAUGGUUUCUCGAAGCUGAACGAGGUUCGGGGAUAGAUGAUGAAAAGGGAUCAUUGCAAUUAGAUUUUGAGAAACUAUGAAAGUGAUUUCAAUUUUUUGUCUCAAAAUAUGAAAGAUAAUGGAUGAAUUGUAUUUUACUAUGUUUCUUUAAUUGAGAUGUGUGUUCAAUUGGACAGAUUAUUGUUUUAUUUAAAAAAAAUUUAGUUACGAAAGAAAAAAUGUUAAGAAGAAACAAUAUUGGAGGUAUAAGAGACAAUCACGAGAGAGAAAGUGUACCUCCAGCAACAUGUGUUUGAUUGUGUAAAUUGAAAGUGGAAAUGUAUCUUAAAGCUUAAAAAUUUCUUAUUUUUCCCAACUCAUGCAGUGUCAUGUUACCAUAACUUAUCUCAUCAGUGGAUCCGCGCGACGUUACCCUACUUCUCCUACAAUUCCAGCACACGAUAGAAUAAAAAACAUUGCCACAAAUGGUCUAUGCCACGUAUGUAUUUAAGUGGGUCCCACAGUUAUCGAGGAUAAAUAAAUAAAACAAAACUAGUUCUCUUCAAUCUAACUCCUCAAUAUAUAUAACAAAAUCCACACAUUAAAGUUUGCCUCACAGAUAUCUUCCUCUCUACUUUUUCGCCACCAUCUCUCCCUCUCCUUACCUCUCUCUCUCUCUCUAAAGCUGUGUAAGAUUCAGACUAUGUUUGGAAAAAACUGGACUCAAGUGGCUAUGUCUGACGACUCGUUGGUGGCCGACGCGCUGCUCCUGCUCCGCC
Molecule: long non-coding RNA, 16229 nt
Filed under: Brassica rapa (field mustard)
Lineage: Eukaryota; Viridiplantae; Streptophyta; Magnoliopsida; Brassicales; Brassicaceae
Description: long non-coding RNA (BRAP_LNC001150)
Source: RNAcentral